AUUUAUCAGAUACAAGUUAUCCAAGUCAUGCUCUGCUCCAAAAGAAAGCAGCAGCAGUCAUUUCCAAUAUAAUUUAGUCUUUCAAGAAACAUCUCAGCUCCGCUAGUUAAAUGUUUUUUUGUGGAGGUCGAGCAUUAAGAUUGAAUGUUAGGAGGUCGUUGAGCAUAUUUCUAACUCGUACCAAUGUGAGGCUAGGAUGAUAGGACAU
RNAcentral lists this long non-coding RNA (208 nucleotides) under Nicotiana benthamiana. RNAcentral describes it as "long non-coding RNA (NBEN_LNC002350)". The record is from RNAcentral. Lineage: Eukaryota; Viridiplantae; Streptophyta; Magnoliopsida; Solanales; Solanaceae.